GAUGAACGCUGGCGGCGUGCCUAAUACAUGCAAGUCGAGCGAACAGAUGAGGAGCUUGCUCCUCUGACGUUAGCGGCGGACGGGUGAGUAACACGUGGAUAACCUACCUAUAAGACUGGGAUAACUUCGGGAAACCGGAGCUAAUACCGGAUAAUAUAUUGAACCGCAUGGUUCAAUAGUGAAAGACGGUUUUGCUGUCACUUAUAGAUGGAUCCGCGCCGCAUUAGCUAGUUGGUAAGGUAACGGCUUACCAAGGCAACGAUGCGUAGCCGACCUGAGAGGGUGAUCGGCCACACUGGAACUGAGACACGGUCCAGACUCCUACGGGAGGCAGCAGUAGGGAAUCUUCCGCAAUGGGCGAAAGCCUGACGGAGCAACGCCGCGUGAGUGAUGAAGGUCUACGGAUCGUAAAACUCUGUUAUUAGGGAAGAACAAAUGUGUAAGUAACUAUGCACGUCUUGACGGUACCUAAUCAGAAAGCCACGGCUAACUACGUG
This 497-nucleotide ribosomal RNA is filed under the name uncultured bacterium. Its description in RNAcentral is "partial 16S ribosomal RNA". It matches the Rfam family "Bacterial small subunit ribosomal RNA", at positions 28 to 507 of the family's 1533-position model. The record is from RNAcentral.